AGAGUUUGAUCCUGGCUCAGAACGAACGCUGGCGGCGUGGAUAAGACAUGCAAGUCGAACGAGAGAAUUGCUAGCUUGCUAAUAAUUCUCUAGUGGCGCACGGGUGAGUAACACGUGAGUAACCUGCCCCCGAGAGCGGGAUAGCCCUGGGAAACUGGGAUUAAUACCGCUUAGUAUCGAAAGAUUAAAGCAGCAAUGCGCUUGGGGAUGGGCUCGCGGCCUAUUAGUUAGUUGGUGAGGUAACGGCUCACCAAGGCGAUGACGGGUAGCCGGUCUGAGAGGAUGUCCGGCCACACUGGAACUGAGACACGGUCCAGACACCUACGGGUGGCAGCAGUCGAGAAUCAUUCACAAUGGGGGAAACCCUGAUGGUGCGACGCCGCGUGGGGGAAUGAAGGUCUUCGGAUUGUAAACCCCUGUCAUGUGGGAGCAAAUUAAAAAGAUAGUACCACAAGAGGAAGAGACGGCUAACUCUGUGCCAGCAGCCGCGGUAAUACAGAGGUCUCAAGCGUUGUUCGGAAUCACUGGGCGUAAAGCGUGCGUAGGCUGUUUCGUAAGUCGUGUGUGAAAGGCGCGGGCUCAACCCGCGGACGGCACAUGAUACUGCGAGACUAGAGUAAUGGAGGGGGAACCGGAAUUCUCGGUGUAGCAGUGAAAUGCGUAGAUAUCGAGAGGAACACUCGUGGCGAAGGCGGGCUCCUGGACAUUAACUGACGCUGAGGCACGAAGGCCAGGGGAGCGAAAGGGAUUAGAUACCCCUGUAGUCCUGGCAGUAAACGGUGCACGCUUGGUGUGCGGGGAAUCGACCCCCUGCGUGCCGGAGCUAACGCGUUAAGCGUGCCGCCUGGGGAGUACGGUCGCAAGAUUAAAACUCAAAGAAAUUGACGGGGACCCGCACAAGCGGUGGAGUAUGUGGCUUAAUUCGAUGCAACGCGAAGAACCUUACCUGGGCUUGACAUGUAAUGAACAACAUGUGAAAGCAUGCGACUCUUCGGAGGCGUUACACAGGUGCUGCAUGGCCGUCGUCAGCUCGUGUCGUGAGAUGUUUGGUUAAGUCCAGCAACGAGCGCAACCCCUGUUGCCAGUUACCAGCACGUGAAGGUGGGGACUCUGGCGAGACUGCCCAGAUCAACUGGGAGGAAGGUGGGGACGACGUCAGGUCAGUAUGGCCCUUAUGCCCAGGGCUGCACACGUACUACAAUGCCCAGUACAGAGGGGGCCGAAGCCGCGAGGCGGAGGAAAUCCUAAAAACUGGGCCCAGUUCGGACUGUAGGCUGCAACCCGCCUACACGAAGCCGGAAUCGCUAGUAAUGGCGCAUCAGCUACGGCGCCGUGAAUACGUUCCCGGGUCUUGUACUCACCGCCCGUCA
This 1370-nucleotide ribosomal RNA is filed under the name uncultured bacterium. Its description in RNAcentral is "bacterial SSU rRNA". It matches the Rfam family "Bacterial small subunit ribosomal RNA". The record is from RNAcentral.